GACGAACCGAGCGAACGUUGUUCGGAAUCACUGGGCUUAAAGGGCGCGUAGGCGGGCUGUCAAGUCUGGGGUGAAAUCCCGCGGCUCAACCGCGGAACUGCCUCAGAUACUGGCGGCCUCGAGGGAGGUAGGGGCGAGCGGAACUAAUGGUGGAGCGGUGAAAUGCGUAGAUAUCAAGAGGAACACCUGAGGUGAAGACGGGUUGCUGGGCUGACACUGACGCUGAGGCGCGAAAGCCAGGGGAGCAAACGGG
This 253-nucleotide ribosomal RNA is filed under the name uncultured bacterium. Its description in RNAcentral is "partial 16S ribosomal RNA". It matches the Rfam family "Bacterial small subunit ribosomal RNA", at positions 524 to 776 of the family's 1533-position model. The record is from RNAcentral.